AUUUUGAGUUCUGGAUCAAAAGUUAUAAUAAAAACAAAAAAGCAAAAAAUUAAAAAAUUCUACGGGUGGAAACGCCUAGAAUUUUCGAAUCUCCUAGGCACUUUUGAAAAUUCUUGGCGUUUCUCCCCUAGAGUUUUGAAAAAUUUAGGCGUUUGGCCUCCACAAAGAAAAAAAAAACGACUUUAAUUCUGACGAUGUGUCUGAUGACUUUGCCCUAAAUUGGUGGUGAUUUGUUGGGAGGAGAGAAUAUACGAUUGAGUCAGAGUCCAGAGAAAAAAAAUAUGAAGUACAUCUGAGAGAAUAUUUGUCCAUUUAUCUAAAUCCCCCCGGAACUAAUAAAAUUACUUUCCCUUCUCUUCCUUUCUUUUCUCUCCCUUUUCUUUCUAUUCCUUUCCUUUAACUGUGGAGUAAUAUUGAACCAAAAAGACCUCACACAGUUACACUCCCACUCUCUCUCUCUCCUCCUUUGAAGCAUGCUCCGUGUUUUUCCAGAAGAAUCGAUCGAAUAUGGGUGACCAUCUCUUUCCCGAAAACAUCCAUCUAAUUUUCCGAUUCAAUACCUCAUUCUCCAAUUUUCAGAUUGCUGGGUACUUAGGCAUUGGUUACAUACAUGUCUUGCUUAGCAGCCACAUGAUCGCUUCUGUUGUUUCUCAAUCCAUUUGCCCAUGGGAAACACAUGUUGUCUGAUAACAUCCAGAAGGGGACUUUAGGAUUGGAGAGGUGAAGAAGAUAGUAGAUGCGCUCAAUGUAGGGAAACUCCCACCAACCGAUGUAUUGUUGAGUGAUUUUAAAUUAUAUAAGAGUUUUUGAAAUAAAUAUGUGCUUCAUGGUUUGCUGCAAAGAUUCUCCAACCUUAAGAAGAUACAGGUCUGUAACUUCAAAGGAGACAUGAAUGAAGCUGUUGUUGCCAUUGCACGGUCCGGGUUGGACUUGGAAGAGUUGGUUGCUUAUUCAUAUUGUCGAAGUCAAUUAGAAGUUUGGUUAGAGGAGCUUGGUUCAAACAUGAAGAAUCUGAAAGUACUCAAGUUUACUGGUGGCGAGGGAGAUGCUGAUUUUGUCAGAGUAGCAGAUUCGUUCCCAGAGCUCGAGGAACUUCAUAUCAAGGAUGAAGCACCGUAUUAUAUUUCUGUGACUGAUGAAGGGAUAGAAUAUAUGUCGUCCAAGCUCAAGAGUUUACGCAAGAUAGACCUUUCGAAUAAAUCACGGAUUUCAGAUAAGUCCCUUAUUUCUCUGUCAAAAAACUGUCCAUUACUAGAGCAAAUUGAAAUUCAUGAUUGUAAUUGUGACACAAGAAGGAAUUUCAUUUCUUGUUAACAACAGCCAUCAUUUGAACUCAUUAUACAUAAAUAAAUAUCUUAAGAUUGAUUCAUUUGGAGUCAAAGGCUCUACAAAUUUCCUAACCAACUUUAGAUCUCUAAAGCUCCAACAUGUAGACAUACCGGAUGAGUUUCUCUUUUCUGUAGUAGAGGCACGGAUUCAUCUUACUGACUUGGAUCUAAGAAUUUGUAAAAGUUACACAAUUACUGGUAUCUCAAUGCUCCUACAACACUCUUCUCAAUCUCUGAAAUCUUUAAAGUUGAGGAGAGUAGAAUUCCUCACAAAUGAGCUUAUAGAGUACUUGUCCUCGUGUCUCCAAAACCUGACAUCAAUAUCAAUCCGUAAUUGUUCCAAUCUAUCUGAUUCAGCUUUUGUUAUGAUCACACAAAGAUGCCCUUGUCUAUGCCAUUUUGUGAUGACUGGUUCAAGCCUUGGAAGAGAAGAAUACAAUUAUGAUGGCCUAAUGAAGAAGAACCGUGCAAUAAAGUACUUAAACCUAUCAUCACAUCAUGACUUUAGCUCUACAGCUCUGAAAAGGCUUCUUAAAUUAUGUCCCGAAGUGGAGAAGCUCAAGCUACAUGAUUGUUAUUUCCUACCCGAUGAUCAACGGAAUGUUCCUGAUAUUCGAGAGUGCCACAGGAGCCUUGUGGAACUGGAUUUAACUGGAUCCCAUCGUUUCGUUGGAGAAGACAUGGAGUUGGAGUUAGAGUUGGAGUCGUCAGUGCUAGAGAAGUUGAUUGUGAAAUAUUCAAAGAUAAAUGAUAUACUUCUUAUAUAGUUGGGGAGGAUAUGCCCCGGAAGUGAUAAAGGAAGUGGUGAAAUCGUGUAAACGACUGAGAUACUUGAGCUUAAGUUGCUGUGAAAAAGUGGGUAUUAACAUAAUACCAUGGAUAGUUGCAAACAGACCAUCCUUGAGAAAAUUGGUCUCAUCAUCUUGUGAUUACCCAGACUCCGAAAACCAGAAUCUCUUCCUGCAGCAAGGCUGUUUUGUCCUCAAGGAUCCAAACUACAUUCCUAGAUAUAGUAGUAUUUUUUUCGGUCUCACGUAGUAUGUUGUAAUUGUGUUUAUUGAAAUAACUCUAAUAAGUACAGUAGUAGAUUGUUGUUGCAA
RNA transcript from Chenopodium quinoa (quinoa), 2428 nucleotides. It is a transcript of the gene named F-box/LRR-repeat protein 3-like, with no coding region annotated. NCBI's taxonomy places the organism in Eukaryota, Viridiplantae, Streptophyta, Magnoliopsida, Caryophyllales, Amaranthaceae. The record is from RefSeq and is a predicted model, not a curated record. The transcript is spliced from 4 exons.